AAACCAACAGGGAUUGCCUCAGUAACGGCGAGUGAAGCGGCAAAAGCUCAAAUUUGAAAUCUAGUACCUUCGGUGCUCGAGUUGUAAUUUGAAGAUGGCGACUUUGGGAGUGGCCUUUAUCUAUGUUCCUUGGAACAGGACGUCACAGAGGGUGAGAAUCCCGUCUGAUGAGGUGAUCCACUCCUUUGUAAAGUGCUAUCGAAGAGUCGAGUUGUUUGGGAAUGCAGCUCUAAGUGGGUGGUAAAUUCCAUCUAAAGCUAAAUAUUGGCGAGAGACCGAUAGCGAACAAGUACAGUGAUGGAAAGAUGAAAAGAACUUUGAAAAGAGAGUGAAAAAGUACGUGAAAUUGUUGAAAGGGAAGGGUAUUAGAUCAGACUUGGCGUUGUGUGAUUAUCUUCCCCUUGUGGGUUGUGCACUCGUGCUUCGCUGGGCCAGCAUCGAUUCGUGUGGCAGGAUAAUAGCAUUGGAACGUGGCUGCGCUUCUGUGUAGUGUUAUAGCCUUUGUUGAUACUGCCUAUGUGGAUCGAGGACUGCGUCUUUUGACUAGGAUGCUGGCGUAAUGAUCUAAUAUCGCCCGUCUUGAAACACGGACCAAGGAGUCUAACGUCUAUGCGAGUGUUUGGGUGUGAAACCCGUACGCGUAAUGAAAGUGAACGUAGGUGAGAAUCUUCGGAUGUAUCAUCGACCGAUCCUGAUGUCUUCGGAUGGAUUUGAGUAAGAGCAUAGCUGUUGGGACCCGAAAGAUGGUGAACUAUGCCUGAA
Molecule: ribosomal RNA, 762 nt
Filed under: [Candida] sp.
Lineage: Eukaryota; Fungi; Ascomycota; Saccharomycetes; Saccharomycetales
Description: LSU rRNA
Rfam family: Eukaryotic large subunit ribosomal RNA
Source: RNAcentral